This 279-nucleotide ribosomal RNA is filed under the name uncultured bacterium. RNAcentral's name for it is "partial 16S ribosomal RNA". It matches the Rfam family "Bacterial small subunit ribosomal RNA", at positions 506 to 784 of the family's 1533-position model. The record is from RNAcentral.
UGCCAGCAGCCGCGGUAAUACGUAGGGUCCGAGCGUUGUCCGGAAUUACUGGGCUUAAAGGGUACGUAGGCGGUUUUAUAAGUCAGUGGUGAAAGCUAGCAGCUCAACUGUUAAUGUGCCAUUGAUACUGUAAAACUUGAGUAUAGUCGAGGUGGGUGGAAUUCUACAUGUAGCGGUGAAAUGCAGAGAUAUGUAGAGGAACUCCAAUAACGAAGGUAACGCACUAGGCUAUUACUGACGCUGAGGUACGACAGCGUGGGGAGCGAACAGGAUUAGAUC